AAUGACCGGUUCCUGUUAGAUCAUCGAAGUCAAGCAUCAUUGGGCGCUGUCAGUACUUGGGUGGGUGACCACCUGGGAACACCGCGUUG
Molecule: non-coding RNA, 89 nt
Organism: Caerostris extrusa
Lineage: Eukaryota; Metazoa; Arthropoda; Arachnida; Araneae; Araneidae
Source: the annotation of a GenBank genome assembly